GGUGGAAGAGGACAUCUUUGCAGUUCAAGCUCUCAUCACCAGCCAUAAGGGCAGUUGCAAAACAAGUGCAAAAAGAGUCAAGCUCUGUGAGUGCGUGAUCAUCCCCCCGCAGGUUUUUGGAUCUCUGCAGCUCCUGCAGUGACAGUGACUGUACAUGGUCAGGGCUGUGCUCAAGAACUGCCAUGUGAAAAGUCACCAUCUUCCUCCUCCAAGGGUCUCGCCUGGUCAGCUAGAGAGGUGACUGAGGCUUGGUUGCCUGCUUCCACCAAAGAUAGAAUCCAUCUCAGCCUUGCACUCUUUAAGGCAGGAAUGUCCUCACCAUCCUGUUCGGUACUGGAGAUGGAGAUCUUCCAGUACAUUGACGUACACCAAAAUGAUUUCAUUGAGGAUCUUAAGGAAUGGGUGGCAGUGGAAAGCGAUUCUGUUCAACCAGAUCUGAGGAAAGAAGUAAUACGAAUGAUGGCAUUGGCAGCAGACAGACUUGGAGCACUGGGAGCCACUGUUAAUUUAGUAAAUUUGGGGUUACAUCAGUUACCGGAUGGUCAGGACCUCCCGCUGCCUCCUGUGAUUCUGGGAGAAUUGGGGAAGGAUCCCCAAAACCCCACUGUAUGUUUCUAUGGCCAUGUAGAUGUGCAGCCUGCCAAAAAGGAAGAUGGCUGGAAAACUGACCCUUACACACUGACUGAAAUCAAUGGAAAUCUCUAUGGGCGUGGAGCAACAGAUAAUAAAGGGCCUGUCUUAGCUUGGAUAAAUGCAGUGGAAACAUUUAAAGCCUUGAAAUUAAUUUCUCUUACGUUCAUUCAGGCCAUGCCAGUAAACUUCAAGUUUGUAAUUGAAGGCAUGGAAGAAGCAGGGUCCUUGGGGCUAGAAAAAUUACUUCAAGAAGAAAAACAGUGCUUUUUCUCUGAUGUUGAUUAUAUUGUGAUUUCGGACAACCUCUGGCUCAGCAACAAGAAGCCUGCCCUUACAUAUGGGAGUCGGGGAAAUGCCUGCUUCUUUGUGGAGGUUCAAUGUGGUGACAAGGACCUUCACUCUGGAACUUUUGGAGGCAUCAUUCAUGAACCGCUGAUGGACCUGAUAGCUCUGCUGGACAGCCUCGUGGAUCCCACAGGUCGUAUUCAGAUCCCUGGAAUCUAUGACAGCAUUGCUGCCCUGACAGAGAAGGAGAUGAAAUUGUAUGAAUCGAUUGAAUUUGAUCUAGAGGAACAUAAAAAUAACAGUGGAGUGAAAAAAUUCCUCUAUGACACCAAGGAAGAAAUACUUCUACACCUGUGGCGUUACCCUUCUCUCUCUAUUCAUGGGAUUGAAGGAGCUUUUCAUGAACCAGGAAUUAAAACUGUCAUUCCGGCAAAAGUCAUUGGCAAAUUCUCAAUCCGUCAGGUCCCCCACAUGGACCUUUCGGUUGUGAAACAACAGGUUGCGGAGCACUUGGAGGGUGUAUUUUCCAAGAGGAACAGUCCAAACAAACUGAAAGUGUCCAUGCCUUUGGGUGCAAAGCCGUGGCUCGCUGAUGUUAAUGAGCCAGUAUAUAAAGCAGCAAGAAGGGCAAUAAAAACAGUUUUUGGAGAAGAUCCAGAUUUUAUACAGGAUGGCUCAACAAUUCCUGUUGCCAGAAUGUUUCAAACUAUAACACAGAAAAGUGUGAUGAUGUUUCCAAUCGGAGCAGCUGAUGAUGGAGAGCACUCCCAGAAUGAGAAAAUAAGCAGGAAAGGGGACUCCAAGACAAGGACUGAGCCUCCAAGAUCAGAAGACUCCAGUUUGCACAUCAUCAGCUCACAAAACAGGUCCUCCACAGUCUCUCAGCUCCUUUUGCUUGUUUAAACCAUCUAGGAACAAGCAUGGUAAGGAACACUGCAUGGGAGACCACUCCAUUGUCUGCACAGAACUCUGAGCAGAUUUCUUCUUUAAAAGCUAUGGUCACUCCAUAAAGGUAAAUGAUUUAAUUUUGUUGAAGUAUUUAAGGGCAUACAAUUGACAAUAACAUUACUUGCAAUCUCCUGUCUUGCAGUGGCCUUAGAAAAUUACUUCAACCGUCACUGAAAGAACUGAUACUCAUAAAUAUGACCCAUUUGGCAGAGGAGAAGAGUAGUAAGCUUGGUGAGAUGUUUGAGGUGGUAUAUUUCCUCAUGCAAGAGAUACAGAGGCUGUGUUUCUAGGACUAUAACUGCUUUGGAAAACACUUCAUGCUGUCUAUAGGCUCUACAAUAUGAAGAAGUACAGCUAAAGGUGACCUUAUGCUAGAUAUAUUUUUUUCUGCUGCCCUUUGGGAAAUAAAAUAAAAAUACAGUCAACAAGGAGGAUAUCAUUUUAGAAAUACAGGCACAGUAUCAGGUUCUGCUCUGGAACAGCCAGCUACUUACUGUCAAGUUAAAACCAUGUGUGUGAAACCAAUGAAUUAUGCAGACCAUCUUCAUGCCUCUUCAGUCCCAGAAGAGAGAAACAGCAGAAAGCUUCAAUUACCAAUUCUUCUGGCUGUGAAAGAAAGGACUGGGGAAGCCACUCUUGCCUUUUUUUCCUGGUGUGUACCAUCUCAUUAGCCUUUUGAAAAACCUAUCCAGGUAGUAAGAACAUAGCUUUUUAGGGUUGUCCAACAGCAGCAUCUAUACCUUUGAGAGCUUGAUUGAGGUAUCAAGACUCGGAUGCCCAGUGCCACUGAGGAUGUCCUACAGUACCUGAGAAAUAUGCCCCGUGGAUGGCAGACACAACUCAAGCCCUGUGUGAGCACUGCCAGUGGAGCAGCAGCUGGUUGCAUGCAGCACCCCAGGGCACCUCCAGUAGCACCAGGUGCCUAGACAUAGUGGGUCAAGGUCUGCCUGUCUCCCUGGUCCAUUGUCCCUAGUCUUCCCUCUUGUAGACUAUACAUUCCCUAUAACAUUCCCAUGCUACAGGGAAUCAAAUGCUCAAGGAUGGGAUCAUAUUUCCCUAUUAAUUAUGAAUGUGAAAGAGUAAAUUGGGAGAUUUUAAUUUCUGUUUAAAAUCAGUGGGCUUAAAUGUGAAACUUGCUUUUGUAUACUAGAUGAAUACAGUUUUUAAUCCUUAAGUAGUGUCUGUAAAGAGAAGACUAAAAAAUGUGGCAGUCAGCUAAAAUAAUGAAGAAUGUGUAAAAUAGUAAGAUGCUGACAAUAGGAACUUAAGACACAGAGAGAUGAGCAACCUCCGGAGAACAAAGACUAAUCAGGUCACCAUCUACUUAGCAUGUGAAAGUGGAAGAUUAGGCUAACUCAUGUAGUUAUGGUUUUCCUUUUCAGUAACAGUACUCCCAAGAGCUUGACAUUAAGUCCUGCUAGUUGUUACUCUCAGAAUACGGCAUUUAGCUUGUUUGACAAAAUGUUAUACAAUGCCUUGCUAGUUAAGGAUGUCUAUAGUCCAUGUUGGGGGAGGGAAGAUUGUGCAUCUGUGCCUGCACCUGUGACACAGGAGCCCGUGCCACAGUGGCUGGUGCCAACAAGGAGCCACAAUCCCCUUCUUUCUGCUGGAAACUUCCACCUGCAAGUGACAUGUAAAGUUAAAAUAGUGAUGCAUGAAAAAUGUCCUGAAUGCAAUCUCAUUGCUUUCUAUAUCCUGCUCAGUGUCUCUGGCUCAUCUCCAUGGUGCUCAUCACUGGGGUGUGAAAGCUGCCUGUGUGUGCAAAACUCACACGUGGGUAAGUGUAUGUAACUGUGUGCCCUUGUUCUCACCCACCUCCACAGUCUGUCCUCUCUGCUAACAGAAACACACAUUUUCUACCAUGGGAUUUUCUAGGAUUAAAAAAAAAAAAAUGCAGUUUCUCAUUCUUUUUUCUUUUCACUUGCUUUCUCAAAUACGUCUGUUUUUAGAAGAUUUCUUUAGAAAGAUGCUGACUGUGGAAUUGGUCAGAUCUGCACACAUUGCCGUAGUUUUGGUGUUACUCUCUUAUGGAAGAAAGUGUGUUUCUUUACCAACACUUCUUGUCUCAAGGUGAAACUUAAUUGAUUUUCAAAUUUAUACCUUGUAUCAUAGAAUCACGGAGUAUCUUGAGCUGGAAGGGAUGUGUAAGGAUCACCGAGUCCAGCUCUAUGUAUGUCCAUAUAUACCUGUAUUUCUUGAGGUGCUGAUACAUUGUAUCCUUUAAGAGGUAAAUAAUUAUAUAAAUAUUUUAAACAGAAAUAUAUGAAUAGAAAAAUAUGAAUGGUUCCUUGUUAAUAGAGUGCAUUUUUGCUUAGCUCUACUGCCAAAUACUUCAGUGAUCCUCUCACUUGCAUUCUUUAGAAACAUGUAUGAAGAACAACUUCACAUUACAGGUCAUUUUGAUAAAUAUGUAGUAAAUGGUUUUCCUGGGAUACUGCUACAUUAGAUUACACAAAAAUAGACAGGAAAUUCAAAUUGACCUGUCAACAAUGCAAGCACGAUGGUAUACUAUUUUGCAAGCUCUUUGCAGAUUUUUUUUCAACUGAUGCUUGGGCUUGAACUGAACCCAAGGCACUUAACAUUUUAGUUUUGCCACUGGUUUCUAAGCAGGUAAAUGAAAGAGCCACUGACUGCUGUGAUGGAGAUUUCCAGCCCAGCCUGAGGGUGGGCAGUUCCUGCAAAGAUUUUCAGCUGAUUCUGCAACCAAUGUGGAAUGAGUUGCUUGAGAUGGGUGAUGGAGGUGGUUCCUAGUUACUAUGUCUAUUCUCACGGAGUUUUAAAAAUUGUAAAUACUAUUUGAAAGCAUGCUUUUGUUUUCACAUAAUUCCUUUCAGGUUCUUUGUGUGAAACUUGCCAUGUUCAUGUUUACCCCUCAAGGCAGGAAUGACAGCUGUGUUUGUGAUUUUAUUUCGUGGACUUAAAUUAUGUGUGUAAAAGUGCUUGCAAAAACAUAACUAGGCACUGAAUUUGGGUUGUAUUUGUUAAGAAAAUUUAGCCUUGGUAGAGGAAAAAAACCCACACUAAAAUCUUGAUUAAGCUUCAAAGUACACAAGGCACUAGGUGUAUCCUGUCAGCAAUGAAAAAUGGUCAUGUUCCUCACUCAAUGAGCAUCUCAGAACUUCAGUGUGUAGCUAGGAAACGCUUCCCAUAGAGUUGACAGUUCACACAGGUUCCUCUUUCAGUGGAUGUAGCUCUAACAGGACUUGGGUGCACGCGGCAGGGAGAUAAGAUGCUGACUCAGUGAAGAUGAAAACUAAGGAUUAAAUCUGUAUUUCAUGCAGCGUGACUUUCUUUGCAAGUUCCUCUCUGAUCUGAUACCACAUUAAAUCUUUAUGUUAACCUUUUGAUGCAUAAUGUCCCCGACUUGAUAUUUAUAUUUGAGGUAUCUGUCUUCACAAACUUGCUUUGUGGGUUUGCAUGAGAUGAAUUAUACAGUGGCAGAGCUGUAAAUACUGGCAAGCUGGACAUCUUCACAUGUAACAGGUGAUACAGGGUAAUAAAUUAAUCUCUUUCAUUUUACUGCAAUGAAUUACCUUUUUAUUAAAAAAAGCACAGUACAACAAAAACAAAUCCUUGAAGGUUUGGCACUGUCAGCAUCCAGACAGACUUAUAUAUAGCUGUACUUAAAAGAAACCAGAGGUUGUCUACAUACACGAGACUAAUACUGAUGUUGCUACCUGUCUUAAAAUAAUUCUAGUGAUCUCUCUCUGUGAAGUAACAUGAAGUGCCAGACAACUGAAUGUUCCCUGUCCUUUAGAUGCCUUUACUUUUUUUACUUUUUUUAUACCUACCUGUAAGAAUAAUACAAAAAUAGGGCUAGCCAUGUCUUUUUAUUUGUGGAGCUGAGGGGAAUAUUUUUGUUUUCUGAACUUAGAAUUGAAACUGUAGCCUGUCUUCAAAAUUUUCAGCGUGACACACUGCUGACAUGUAGAUUUCUAGUAUGAAGAAACAAGUGGUGGCAGAACCAUUACAUAUUCAUUUCAUGUAUGUUUGUAUCACUCUUUUUCACACAUAGAAAUCCAGGAGUUAGAACUGCUUUACUUAUCCUCUAGACAGGCCAGGAAGUUCUGUAUGCACGGUUACCAUCGCCAAUUUGGCAACAACUCUUGACAUUCCACUGACUGCUUCAAAUGAUACAGUUCCAUUGAACCACAGUGAAAGACCCAAUAAGAUCUGGCAAGUACAUCCUUUCUCAAGCCAUUUGUUUCUUAGAUUUUGGAUACCAGAAGUUAGUUACAUAGUCCACUUUAUACUGAAAAGCAGUGGAAUGAAUGAAGAUACAGUUUAAACCAACAAAACCAUGGAUACACAAGUCAUGUCACUCAUUUGCAUAUUAUGUAUUGUGUAUGCAAAACAUUUUAAUUGUUUGUGCUUAUAUACAAUUGCCUUAAAUGACCAUUUAUUUAUUUUUGUGAUAUUGACUACUGUGAUACUGAGGAGAAAGCUGGCUGGCUGCCGUUCUAGGCUUUUAAUCCAUCUUGUUACACAUCUCCCAGCUGUGCUGUAACUUGGCUUUAGAUGAGUACUACUCAAGAUUAUUCAGUAUCAGACUGAAGAUCAUGUCUGACUCCUCAACUGCGUGUGUGAAGACAUCGCUCAGUGCACAUGGAGAUAUCCCUGGCUCGUGCUUCUGUGUUGCAGGCUUCACAGGGAUCUGCUGACUGGCCAUCUGUAGGAUCAUCACUUAAAAAGGUAAGUACACUUUAGAAAUGGUCACUUAUAAAGCUGUUAAGUCCAAGCUUCAUAACAGAUCAUAACUUUGCUAGAAAAAAAAACCACCUUGAAAACUCACAGAAAUAUUGCCUUUGCUUUGCAAUAGGAAAGGUGGGGUUUUUUUAGCUACAGUUAUGUCUUCAGUUAUCCAAAUAAAAAGCAAAAAGGGUAACCGUUAAUCCUGUAGAAAUUCAGAUUAAUUCAGGUUCAUUUGGGUAAGAGGCUGACAUGAUCCACCAAAGUGGAACAAGUCCAGCUGUUUCAUUUCUUUAGGAGCUAAACAGAAAGCCUGUAAGGUGACUGGCAACAUUUUUGUUGUUUGUAUAAGUUCUCUAUGUUACAAUAGUAAACUUCAACACUAGGUAUCUAUCAGGGAGCGAGCAUUUUGUUUACUUGAAAAUGGAUAAAUACUUUCACUUCAUAUGAGUUACCUGCCACAACCGGGCUGCAAACCCACAGGUUAAGACAAAGUGAGUAAGAAGGCACAACCUUUAACGAAGGUGUGAGCAUGGGUGCCACCGGCAGCGUGAACCUGGUGGCAUAUCCUGGCACAAAGGUGCAGCUGUGCCCGGACAUAGCCACACCUCCUCAGGUCUCCAGAGCCAGAGGUUGCCUGUACAAUCAUGUACACAGUAGCACAUGAUUGGGACUAGAAUGCCUUUCAGAUUGGUUAUCUAAGAAUGCAUACAUUUAUCUCAUUAACUUAUUAUUCUCUUAAGCAAAUCAGAAAGGAACAGUGAGGCCUUUUUAUUCAGUCACCAACAUACAUGAAGUAAAUUUUCACCCAGUAAUUUCUGCAACAAGAAAAAAUUUAGUCCUGCUUUCCAAUUAAAAACCACCACUUGAUAAGGCUUAAAAAAUCCCUGGUGUUUACAUCCUAGUUAUUCUGAUGAUAUUUUCUUAUGGGUGUAAUUGCAUAGAAAAAAACAUAUGCAGAUUUUCUUCAACAACUUGCUACCUUGGGGGAGAAAUACUGGUGCUUAGGAUAUGCCUAUGGCCAAUACAGCUGACUGCUUGACUAUCCUAUAGAUCCAGCUCAGAGUCCCUUGCAAGGCUGGUCAGAGACAUUACCUGCGUGACCAUCAUCAAGUUCCACGGUCAACAUGUUAUUUUGCUAAACAAAUUUGAUGUGCACAACAAAAGCUGUAAUUCAGAGUUCGCUGCUCCUCGGUAAGCAGCUGAUGAAGUGAUUGAUGGACCUGGCAUACUAACCUGGCUGCAGAAAACAUUUAAAUACAGGGAGUUACCUGAGGCCCAGAUCUACGAAAAUUCAGAUGCACAUAAAAGGAAUUUGUAAACUGCAGAAAAAGUGAAGAUUGUGGGACACCAAAUGGUUAUUUAACCUAUUUUCCUAUGUUUAAAAACAUCAAGAAGAAUCAGACUGUUCUUAAUCAGAUUGUUCUUAAAACUGACAAUGGUUUCCAUAGCCUCUCAAUGACCUACUGAAGUUUUUAGAUGUCCUUAUAAAGGUAAAUAUAUAUAUAAACAAAGAUAUUUUUACUACAAAUUAAGGGGUCUUCCCCUGUGUAGAUUUGUUGUUAUACAGAGGACAAUUAAAAUAUGUACUAUAACCCUGAGGGACUGGACAGAGCCUUCUGGUACCUAUGUUCUUAUCUCCUUAUGCAUUAUAAACCUUGUUCAUUCGUUUCCAUCUUUA
Apus apus (common swift) is the source of this 8236-nucleotide RNA transcript. It is a transcript of the gene named carnosine dipeptidase 1, with no coding region annotated. NCBI's taxonomy places the organism in Eukaryota, Metazoa, Chordata, Aves, Apodiformes, Apodidae. The transcript has 14 exons. The record is from RefSeq and is a predicted model, not a curated record.